CCAAUAGCGUAUAUUAAAGUUGCUGCAGUUAAAAAGCUCGUAGUUGAAUUUCGGGACCAUCAUGUCGGUCGUGCCUCGGUACGUACUGGCAUUGUUGGUUUCUACCUUCUGACGAACCAUGAUGUCAUUUAUUUGGUGUCGUGGGAAAUCAGGACUGUUACUUUGAAAAAAUUAGAGUGUUUAAAGCAGGCUCACGCUUGAAUACAUUAGCAUGGAAUAAUGAAAUAGGACGUUUGAUUCUAUUUUGUUGGUUUCUAGGAUCGACGUAAUGAUUAAUAGGGAUAGUUGGGGGCAUUAGUAUUCAAUUGUCAGAGGUGAAAUUCUUGGAUUUAUUGAAGACUAACUACUGCGAAAGCAUUUGCCAAGGAUGUUUUCAUUAAUCAAGAACGAAAGUUAGGGGAUCGAAGACGAUCAGAUACCGUCGUAGUCUUAACCAUAAACUAUGCCGACUAGGGAUCGGAUGAUGUUAAUUUUUUAAUGACUCAUUCGGCGCCUUACG
RNAcentral lists this non-coding RNA (499 nucleotides) under uncultured Glomus. RNAcentral's name for it is "SSU rRNA". It matches the Rfam family "Eukaryotic small subunit ribosomal RNA", at positions 591 to 1092 of the family's 1831-position model. The record is from RNAcentral. RNAcentral also lists the same sequence under 1 other name. Lineage: Eukaryota; Fungi; Glomeromycota; Glomeromycetes; Glomerales; Glomeraceae.